CUGAAGUUGCAACAUACCUACAGACAGGACAUCCAUCACAACAUAAUAAAAAUCCAGGAGGAUUCUAUCUGCUUCAAACUAAUAAGAAGAAAAGACAAUUAAAAAAAAUAAUACUAUGCAUUUAAAUAAAUAGAAGUAUACCAGUGCACUUUCAUUCACUUCAAAACAAAACCACAACAUGCUCAAUAUACCUACUAAAUUGGCUCUACAAAGCUUUCUAUAAAAAAUUACCUCCCAGUAGGAUCCCAUUCAAUAUCUGUUGCCAUAAAAUGCUCAGUUGUA
This 282-nucleotide unclassified non-coding RNA is filed under the name Hevea brasiliensis (rubber tree). The record is from RNAcentral. Lineage: Eukaryota; Viridiplantae; Streptophyta; Magnoliopsida; Malpighiales; Euphorbiaceae.